RNAcentral lists this ribosomal RNA (460 nucleotides) under uncultured bacterium. RNAcentral's name for it is "partial 16S ribosomal RNA". It matches the Rfam family "Bacterial small subunit ribosomal RNA", at positions 338 to 795 of the family's 1533-position model. The record is from RNAcentral.
CCUACGGGAGGCAGCAGUGAGGAAUAUUGGUCAAUGGACGAGAGUCUGAACCAGCCAAGUAGCGUGAAGGAUGACUGCCCUAUGGGUUGUAAACUUCUUUUAUAUGGGAAUAAAAUGUUCCACGUGUGGGAUUUUGUAUGUACCAUAUGAAUAAGGAUCGGCUAACUCCGUGCCAGCAGCCGCGGUAAUACGGAGGAUCCGAGCGUUAUCCGGAUUUAUUGGGUUUAAAGGGAGCGUAGGUGGAUUGUUAAGUCAGUUGUGAAAGUUUGCGGCUCAACCGUAAAAUUGCAGUUGAGACUGGCAGUCGUGAGUACAGUAGAGGUGGGCGGAAUUCGUGGUGUAGCGGUGAAAUGCUUAGAUAUCACGAAGAACUCCGAUUGCGAAGGCAGCUCACUGGACUGCAACUGACACUGAGGCUCGAAAGUGUGGGUAUCAAACAGGAUUAGAUACCCUAGUAGUC